RNA transcript from Spinacia oleracea (spinach), 4301 nucleotides. RefSeq lists it as uncharacterized. The record is from RefSeq and is a predicted model, not a curated record. Lineage: Eukaryota; Viridiplantae; Streptophyta; Magnoliopsida; Caryophyllales; Amaranthaceae. The transcript has 4 exons.
CUUUUUAUGUGGUUGCCCAUUGUAAACUAAAUGACUCAGCCGACAAUUUAGCACUCGUUUCCCUAACCCAAAAAAGGCGGAAAAAAGCCCGCUUUCUUAUUUCCGGCUACUCCACGACCUACUCCACGAUUCCAAAUGCAGAAACAGAACAACUCCUCCCUCUCCUUCCCCUCUUUCUCUUCCAGAUGUGAUUCCGAGUGCUACACUUCUCCGACGUUUCUUCUUCACGAAAAUUACCAGUCUGGGAGGUUGGUGGAUCGGCGGCUAGGUCAUUUCCGGCACUUCUCUUCUUCAAGGCAAUUUGUCAAAAGUGGAUGCACUUCGGUUAGAAAAUUUGUAACUGGGUCAACUACUACACUAAUUGUAAGUAUAAUUCAAUUUACUUCUUUGUUUUUUAAUAUAAUAAAUAUUUUGAGACUAGCUUUGGUUUUAUUAUUCCAUUUUCUAUUAUCGAUAAUUGAAAUUCUCCAAGAUAUAGGAUUUGGUGUAUGUUAUACAGACUUGCAUUGAAUUGGUUAGCUUAGAUAUAGUUGAGGUGUAUUUGACAUAUAGUAUUAAUCAUUUAUAAUCCAUGAUCUUGCCUUGAACUGGUUAGCCGAAUUACAGUCAAAUUACAGUCAAAUUACAGUCAUUGAUGCUCUAGCCGUGCAGGUGCCAAAUCUUAUUGCUUUGAAAGAGUUUUCAGAGGUAAAAUCUUAUAAGUUUACAAUUGUUAGAUGUCAAGAUUUCUUCUUGGGUUUGGUGCUUCAGCUCAUCAACGACAUCCUCGACCUCUACAAGGUUAAUUGAGUCGGGUUUUAUAUUAUUGACCUUGUAUUAUUCAAUUUCUUGAGACAGUUUCUUAGUGUCCAUAAUUUUCUUAGUUAGCUGCAGUAUUCAUGGGAUUGAAUUCUUAAGAUGGGUUGUCUCUAGAGUAAGAGCUUCAGGAUUGGUUUCAUCUCAUGUCCUUUUUCUUAUGUUCGCUGCAGGUUAAUUAAAGAUUCCUAUUUCAUAUUUCAUUGUCAUGGAAAGGUGUUGCUGUUGAUAGUUAGAAUGGGGUUACUAUAGUAAUUCCCAAAGGGAGUACCAUACCUUGUGUGAAGGUUGUGACCAUGCUUCGGUUAGGUACAUUUACCGUUGAUGUGCAGUAUACAGAUGCCAGUAAGAUCAGUUCUUACAUGGGUUAGUAUACUCAUGGUCAAUUUAUGUUAUCUAUUUAAUUAUGUAGUGAUAAUACUGAUCGAGGGAAAAACUAGGUUGUUACUAGUCUCUCCUAAUCAAACAAAUUACCUAAACUAACCACUAAACACAAGUAAAGCGGUAAGCAAGGGUCGAAAUCCACAAGGACUAAGGUGCGCUAAUUUAUGCUAAUCGAACAACAAACUAGGUCGAAACGGGGUUUUGGAAAAUCCUAAUAGACUAAAACUAAUUAAACUAAACUAAGAAACCAAAAGUAAAUGAGAUUAGGGAAUGGGUCAAACAACAUAUCAUGGAAUGGACAUAAAAGAAUUGAAAACGGGGAAGAUUCACAAGCACUACAUGAUAAGCGUUGAAUUCACAAAUAGCUCCAACUAUCUCCCGACGUGCGAGCAAUUUCCCUAAGAAUCAAACAUGAACUCCCGUUCUACACUAUCAUCCCGGGGUAAGUCGAAAACCCAAUUCAACUACAUAAUCAAGUUUAGGUCUUUAAUCCCUUUCCAACCCAACUAGACUACUCCAAGCAAUCAUCGCACACUUAAUUGAUCAAGUUAAAUGCAACAUGUAUUGGAAAUGCCUAAACAUGCAAUAAUUUAAUCAUGAAAAUCCCUAAUUUCCAAUCACAAACAACAAAACCAAUCAAUGUUGAGUUUUCACCAAACCCUAAUCAAUAAACUACUCAGUCAACAUAAAAAUAAUAAAUUUAAAGACUUUAAUAACUAAUAACAUGAUACUAAGCAAAAACAACAACUAAUUUAAAGAUUUAAUUAUAAAACUAAACAUUAAACUAAUCUAAUCAAGAAACAUAUAAAACAAUAAAUAAGACAAUAAAUGAAGAGAGAAGAGUAAAGAAAAUCUCAUUGAAAUCAAGUUCCCCAUCUUUGAUUCUUCAAAAUCCAAUUUCAACCCAUGUUUCUCUCACUUUCUCUCUCUAAAAACUAACUAAACCCUAGAAAAUUAAAGAGAAAAAUAAACUAAUUAUGUACAUUGUUCUCCCCCUUUUUUAGAAAAUGGGAUUUAACUAUUUAUAUCCAUCCAAAAAUAAAAUAAAGAAAAAUGAGUAAAGAAAAAAAAAAAGAGAAGGAAUUAAAAAGAAAAUAAAAGAAAAAUAAAAAAUGAAAAUAAAAUAAAAUAAAGAGAAAAGAAAAAAAAAAAAAAAAAAAGGAACACAAAGCUCCCAGCCUCCCACCAAAACCCCCGUAGCUUCCCCUCCACUAGAAGACAAAAAAGAGUGAAAAUAAAUAAGGAAAGUAAAAGAUAAAAAGGAUUAAAAAAAAAAUGAAAAACCCCUUCCUUCCAAAACCAAAACACCAGACCCUCCUUUCUUCGUCCUCUACGCAUCACCAUCAUCUUUAAUCAUCGUCAGCAAUCGACCAUCAUCCACCAUCGAUCUUCUAUCAACGCAUCAUCAUCAGCCCGAAUCACCGUCUAUCACUCAUCAAUCAUCCAUCACCAUCACAUUCUAAUUCGAUUCCAUGGCUCUAAUUCGCAGCUCAUCUUCAAUCAAUCGGAGCCGUACGAUUUCAUUAAUUCCGUACCAAAUUUGAGCGCUCAAUUAUUCGUCCGAACACAUGGGAAGUUCGACCGAACGUAAUUUUGGUUUGGGCGAACUCUAUUGAGGUUCGACCUGACCUCAUACUUACAGGAACUAUUAUAAACGGGUUCGGUCGAACUUAAUACGGGUUCGAUCGAACCCAAUUGCUCUGUUUUUCUCUGUUUCUUGAUUGUGUUUUUGGGCGUUUCUUGGUGUUGUGGUUGGGUUGGAUGUGGCGCAUAGGUGUUGUUGAUGCUGAUUGGUGUACGAAGAUGAGGUUGGUGCUGCAUAGGUGUUGCUGAGUGGUUGUUUCCGGCGGCUCUUGUUGAUAGGUGAAGGGUGUGGUGUAGGAUAGAGGAGGGUGUGGUGUAGGCUAAGGAGGGUAGCUGAUGUUUGUGUGUAUUAGACUCUUGGGCAGCCCACAAGCAACAAAGCUCAUACCCCAAUUUUCUUGCUCUUUGACAUAGUAACACAAUUUGACUUGGCCUUUGAAACUCAUAUCCCAAACUUCGAGCAAGCACGCCUACACAAUUGAAAAUAAUACGAGGCGCGAAACUUGACAUGUAAAAAAAAAUAAGACGAAUAUAAAUAAAUAAAUAAAAUUAACAAUAAUAAAUAAUAAUAAUAAUAAUAAUAAUAAUAAUAAUAAUAAUAAUAAUAAUAGAAAUAAAAAUAGAAAAUUAAUAACAAAAACUAAAUAAUUAAACUAUAAAAUUAUAAAACCAAUAAAAUAAAUAAAUUAAGAAAUUAAGAUCUAAAAACUAACAAAAAUAGCUAAAAGCACUAGACUAAGCAAUAAAUAAUUAAAAUAAGAAAUUAAGGAAAAUAAAGACUAAAAAUGCUAAAAAUAGAAUAAAACUGACUCAAAUAAUGCCUAAAUUACUACCUUAUGAGUGACAUAAAUGUCACUCAUCAAAUACGCUAUUACAACAUGCAAUUUGUUGUUUAUUUUCCCGCUUCCACUGCCAUUUUCAAUAUCCUUUCGCUCUGCACCCGUUUCUGUGGAACAGAUAGAUUGGCCCUUUUCAAUCGAGCAACGGUGAUUGUGCAAUGCUUAAGAUCAGAGUGCGGUUGAAUCUGCAUGGAAUUGUGUCAAUUGAAUCAGCAACGCUCUUGGAGGAGAAGAAGUUGAGGUUCAUGUAGUUAAAGAGACAAAAUGGACACUGAUGAUAUUCCAACUGAGACUCCCUCUGGUGAAGCUGAUGUAAACAUGCAAGAUGCGAAGGGUCACUAGAGGAAAAAACGUGAUAAGUUGCUCUUAAAAGUGGCUUAUAAGUUGCCCUUCGUAAGUGCCACCAAUUGGGGGGUCACUUUUGUAAAAUUAUCAAAAGUUGCCCUUAAAAAGGGCAACUUAUAAUCUUAUAAGGUGCCCUUGUUGCAAACAAGGGCACCUUAUGUGAAACUUAUAAGGUGCUCUUGUUGCAAACAAGGGCACCACUUAUGUGAAACUUAUAAGUUGUCCUUGUUCCAAACAAGGGCACCUUAUAAGCUGCACAUAAGUUGCUCUUGUUGCAAACAAGGGCAACUUUUGAGUUAAUCUGCAAUAUAAUUCCUAAUAUUCUGCAAUAUAAUUUCUGAUUUUGAAAUAUAA